CUUAUCUUGAGUAGAACGCACGUGGUUCGAGAAGGUACCACUCGAGAAAGAUCCGUGCACCGAGAGAGAUGAUUUGAGAAGUAAAUAUCUUGCUUUUGGUGCUGGAUGAAGAUGGCAGAAGUAGAAGUGAUGACGAAUUACAGGAUCCAACAUUUCAAUGCAGAGAUGUCCAUGUGGCUGAGAACAGAUUCUGGGGACUUAAAAUGGUGUCAAGUGGCAAUCCACUGCAUGGGGGAUGUUUAGCUUCAUUCCUUCACAGACUUGUGGUUCUGUUGACAGUCUUGAAGCAAGGUGGUAGCUGGGUAAGAAUCGAGGAGUGCCAGCUCUUCUGUCCUGUGAAUUUCAACCUGAAGGUCAGCAUGAAAGUUGUACGUUCAGGCCUUGCACCUCUAGCAGUUGGUGGAUUGAAGUCCAUGAGUUUGUAAUAGACAUCUUAUUGAAGAUGACCACUUGAACCCUGGUCAGCUUUCAACCAUCUAGGAUGGGGGAGCAGGUGUCUAGUGGUUAUGUUCAGACUAAAUUAUCUGAUGUGUUAUUUUGAAGGUGGGCUACCUUGGAGGUUGACUAUGCAUCAUUCUGACCAAGGACCAUAAGGAACAAGUAUUUCUGCAGCAAGAUGUGAUUUCUCUGAGUCUUCCUUUCAUAGUGUUCAAUUCUAAAUAAAUCCUCAUUGCCAGAC
Liolophura sinensis is the source of this 679-nucleotide long non-coding RNA. RefSeq lists it as uncharacterized. The transcript is spliced from 9 exons. The record is from RefSeq and is a predicted model, not a curated record. NCBI's taxonomy places the organism in Eukaryota, Metazoa, Mollusca, Polyplacophora, Chitonida, Chitonidae.